UGAUGUCACAUGGUAAGACGAGGACAAGUUGUGAGAUGCUCCUAUCAAGCUCAUCUUCUAAUUUUCAAAUACACCUUGAAAAAACUCCAGACUACCCCUGGUUCCAAAGGUUUGAGUCAUGCUUGUGGCUUGCAAAACCUUGUUAGUAGUUUAUUAAACUAUUGAAUGAUGGAAAAUGGGCCUUGCAUGGUACUUAAUUAAACUCUCGGUCUUGAACCAUAUCUUCUCACCCAGCUGACUUAAGUCUCAAAUGAUGGACAUACAUGAACAAAGACAGUUCUUAUGUUCUAAGUUUUGGAAGUCAAUGGAAGUUGAGCACUACAUGAACUAUAUAUCUACUUUGGUCAUGCAUGCACUGGAGUCAGUGGCAGUUCCAUGGGUGGUCCCAUGAGUUUGAGAAAUCUUGUAAAGCUGGUUUAUGCUCAGUAGAAUGAAAUCAAAACCAGUUUGUGAUGCAGAUCAUGCCAGACUUUUCUGUGUGGUGGCCAUUUUGGAAUUCCUCUUCAAACUUUUUUGUUUCUGGAAUCAUCAUCCUGAUCAGUGGCAGUUCCAUGGGUGGUCCCAUGAGUUUGUGAAAUCUUGUGAAGCUGGUUUAUGCUCAGUAGAAUGAAAUCAAAACCAGUUUGUGAUGCAGAUCAUGCCAGAAUUUUCUGUGUGGUGGCCAUUUUGGAAUUCCUCUUCAAACCUUUUUGUUUUCUAUUCUUGCCUGCUACUUCCAAAGGUGGA
This 726-nucleotide long non-coding RNA is filed under the name Actinia tenebrosa (Australian red waratah sea anemone). Its description in RNAcentral is "uncharacterized LOC116289443, transcript variant X1". Lineage: Eukaryota; Metazoa; Cnidaria; Anthozoa; Actiniaria; Actiniidae. The record is from RNAcentral.